This 10460-nucleotide long non-coding RNA is filed under the name Mytilus galloprovincialis (Mediterranean mussel). The record is from RNAcentral. Lineage: Eukaryota; Metazoa; Mollusca; Bivalvia; Mytilida; Mytilidae.
UGUCAUUAUCAGUUCCAUAGACAUAAAACAUUUAAGGUGAGUGUACAGUAGGAAUAUUCAAUUAUCAUUCUAUAGACAUAUAAACAUUUAAGGUGAGUGUACAGUAGGAUUAUGUCAUUAUCAGUUACUUCUAUAGACAUAAACAUUUAAGGUGAGUGUACAGUAGGAUUAUGUCAUUAUCAGUUAUCAGUUCCAUAGACAUAAAACAUUUAAGGUGAGUGUACAGUAGGAUUAUGUCAUUAUCAGUUCUAUAAGACAUAAAACAUUUAAGGUGAGUGUACAGUAGGUCAUUAUCAUUAGUAUCAUUAUCAGUCCAUAGACAUAAAACAUUUAAGGUGAGUGUACAGUAGGAUUAUGUCAUUAUCAGUUCCAUAGACAUAAAACAUUUAAGGUGAGUGUACAGUAGGAUUAUGUCAUUAUCAGUUCCAUAGACAUAAAACAUUUAAGGUGAGUGUACAGUAGGAUUAUGUCAUUAUCAGUUCCAUAGACAUAAAACAUUAAGGUGAGUGUACAGUAGGAUUAUGUCAUUAUCAGUUCUAUAGACAUAAAACUGAGUACAGUAGGAUUAUGUCAUUAUCAGUUCUAGAUCAUAAAACAUUUAAAGGUGAGUGUACAGUAGAUUAUGUCAUAUCAGUUCUAUAGACAUAAAACAUUUAAUGAGUGUACAGUAGGAUUUGUCAUUAUCAGUUCUAUAGAAUAAAACAUUUAAGGUGAGUGUACAGUAAUUUAUGAUUAUCAUAGUCAUUUAGUGUACUAGCAUUUCCAUAGACAUAAAACAUUUAGGGAGUGUACAGUAGGAUUAGUCAUUAUCAGUUCCAUAGACAUAAACAUUUAAGGUGAGUGUACAGUAGGACUAUGUCAUUAUCAUCCAUAGACAUAAAAACAUAUAAGGUGAGGUACAGUAGGAUUAUGUCAUUUUUGUCGAGCCUGCAACUUUUGUUGCAGAAAGCUCGACAUAGGGAUAGUGAUCCGGCGGUGGCGGCUACGGCGGCGGCGUUAGCUCACUUCUUAAAAGCUUUAUAUUUUAGAAGGUGGAAGACCUGGAUGCUUCAUACUUUGUAUAUAGAUGCUUCAUGUUAUGAAGUUUCUGUCAGUCACAUGUCCAAUGUCCUUGACCUCAUUUUCAUGGUUCAGUGACCACUUGAAAAAAAAAGUUUAAAUUUUUUGUAAUGUUGAUUUCUCUCUUAUUAUAAGUAAUAGGAUAACUAUAUUUGAUAUGUGCCUACCUUGCAAGGUCCUCAUGUCUGUCAGACAGUUUUCACUUGACCUUGACCUCAUUUCAUGGAUCAGUGAACAAGGUUAAGUUUUGGUGGUCAAGUCCAUAUCUCAGAUACUAUAAGCAAUAGGGCUAGUAUAUUCAGUGUAUGGAAGGACUGUAAGGUGUACAUGUCCAACUGGCAGGUGUCAUCUGACCUUGACCUCAUUUUCAUGGUUCAGUGGUUUAUAUUAAAUUUUUGUGUUUUGGUCUGUUUUUCUCAUACUAUAUGUAAUAGGUCUACUAUAAAAUUUGUUGUAUGGAAUGAAUUGUAAGGUGUACAUGUCUAGCGGGCAGAUGUCAUGAGACCCUGACCUCAUUUUCAUGGUUCAGUGGUCAAAGUUAAGUUUUUGAGUUUUGGUCUUUUUAUCUAGUACUAUAUGCCAUAGGUCAACUAUAAUUGGUGUAUGAAUGGAAAUAUUUUAUGAUCUUUAUGUCAGUCGCACAGGUUUUAUUUGACCUUGACCUCAUUUUCACGGUUCAUUGCACAGUGUUAAGUUUUUGUGUUUUUGUCUAUUUUUCUUAAACUAUAAGUAAUGGGUCAACUAUAUAUGUUGUAUAGAAGCAUUGUUAGCUGUACAUGUCUGCUUGGCAUCUUUCAUCUGACAUUGACCUCAUUUUCAAGGUUCAUUGGUCUUUGUUUAGUUUUCUUAGUUAAUGUUAAGUUUAUGUGACAGUUGUAAUAAAGCUUAGCUUUAUACAGGACUAUCAACAUAAUAUCAAUGAUUAGUAUAGAAGGCGAGACAUUUCAGUGUGUGCACUCUUGUCAGUUCUAUAGACAUAAAACAUUUAAGGUGAGUGUACAGUAGGAUUAUGUCAUUAUCAGUUCCAUAGACAUAAAAAACAUUUAAGGUGAGUGUACAGUAGGAUUAUGUCAUUAUCAGGUCCAUAGACAUAAAAAUUUAAGUGAGUGUACAGUAGGAUAUGUCAUUAUCAGUUCCAUAGACAUAAACAUUUAAGGUGAGUGUACAGUAGGAUUAUGUCAUUAUCAGUUCCAUAGACAUAAAACAUUUUAAGGUGAGUGUACAGUAGGAUUAUGUCAUUAUCAGGUCCAUAGACAUAAAAAUAUUUAAGGUGAGUGUACAGUAGGAUUAUGUCAUUAUCAGUUCCAUAGACAUAAAACAUUUAAGGUGAGUGUACAGUAGGAUUAUGUCAUUAUCAGGUCCAUAGACAUAAAAUAUUUAAGGUGAGUGUACAGUAGGAUUAUGUCAUUAUCAGUUCCAUAGACAUAAAACAUUUAAGGUGAGUGUACAGUAGGAUUAUGUCAUUAUCAGUUCCAUAGACAUAGAACAUUUAAGGUGAGUGUACAGUAGGAUUAUGUCAUUAUCAGUUCCAUAGACAUAAAACAUUUAAGGUGAGUGUACAGUAGGAUUAUAUCAUUAUCAGUUCUAUAGACAUAAAACAUUUAAGGUGAGUGUACAGUAGGAUUAUGUCAUUAUCAGUUCUAUAGACAUAAAACAUUUAAGGUGAGUGUACAGUAGGAUUAUGUCAUUAUCAGGUCCAUAGACAUAAAACAUUUAAGGUGAGUGUACAGUAGGAUUAUGUCAUUAUCAGUUAUCAGUUCUAUAGACAUAAAACAUUUAAGGUGAGUGUACAGUAGGAUUAUGUCAUUAUUCAGUGCUCUAGACAUAAAACAUUUAAGGUGAGUGUACAGUAGGAUUAUGUCAUUAUCAGUUAUCAGUUCUAUAGACAUAGAAACUUUAAGGUGAGUGUACAGUAGGAUUAUGUCAUUAUCAGGUCCAUAGACAUAAAAAACAUUUAAGGUGAGUGUACAGUAGGAUUAUGUCAUUAUCAGUUCCAUAGACAUAAAACAUUUAAGGUGAGUGUACAGUAGGAUUAUGUCAUUAUCAGUUCUAUAGACAUAGAACAUUUAAGUUGAGUGUACAGUAGGAUUAUGUCAUUAUCAGUUCCACAGACAUAAAACAUUUAAGGUGAGUAAAAUGUGCAGUAUGAUUAUGUCAUUAUUAAGGUGAGCUUGGAAGCAGAGUGUAAACUAUGUCAUGUCUACCUCAGUUAUCUGACCCUUGACCUAAUAUUUGUUUUGCCUUGGCAGAGUCGAGAAGACGAAAUUAGGUAAAUGUAUGCUGUUUAUGGUGGCUCCAGUGGUGUCAACAAUAUAUUAGUUUGUGAUACGGUCUCUAUAUGUGGACCCAUUUGUCGAGGAUUGCGGGAACGUAAAACAAUACUAUUUGUUCUGUCGCCACUAACUACAUGUAUAUGACAUCACAUAUUUGUAAAAUAUUGUAACAAGGUUUAUGCUUAUACUUAAAUAGAAUAUUGAACUGUACAGUAGUAUUUUCUAGAGAUCAACCUAGUCUUAUCACAAUGCCAAGUAUACAUCUCAAAACGUUACAUUGGUGCCGUGACCAGGAUGUCGAGGAUUGUGGGAAAGUCUCAUUUUGAUCAGGAUUGUUUGGCCUUGUAACUGUAGUUAUUAAUUACUGACUGAAUAUUUUGCAUAACUGGCAUUAUGUACAUAUUAAAGUGUUCGCUAUUUUCAUUAGAAAAUUUGCAUUUUACUAUCUAAAUAACAAAUAGGCGAGACAUAUCUCUCUGUUUCAAAGGUUUAACCCUUUCAACACUACACAGAAAAAAUAGAAAAAUGGCUGCUGCUACUGAAUUUUUUGUGUUCAUUCAUUAGAACAGUAUAUUCCUUUUCCGUCUUCAUUUAUUUUUCUGUUUUAUCUGCAAUAUAAUAAAGAAGACACCAGUUGCGUAUUGCACCGUACACAACGUAUUAUGUAUUUGUCGCACUAAUAAGUGGCUCCGUUCUCAAAAUUUUCAGUCAGCCUCCGUUUUCCCCCUUUUUUCUACGUCUCAUAAUGAUCAAUCAAAUCAUAUUUCCCACCUGAAUUAAAUGUAAUAAACACAUUGAGAUAACAAGAAACCUUUUAACUAAUCGACAUUGUCAGUUUCUCCAUAGAAAUGCUGAAAUAUUUACAUAUUUACAGCUUCGUUUCUGAUUUGCGGCAUUUGCAUUUGCUUAAGAGUCCUGAUGAAAAUUCCAUUGUCAUCGAAAAGCAGAGGUUGUCGGCGGCUUUCAUCUUGGCGUUGAAAGGGUUAAAACCAGAAAUAAAUGUCUACACAUCAUAUUUCUAUAUAUAGAAGUUAAUUUUCCAUUGCAGUUUAAGAACUGGAGGUUCCCAAGGGUGAACAAUAGGAUUUAAAUGUCUACACAUCAUAUUUCUAUUUAUAGAAGUUUAUUUUCUAUUUGCAGUUUAAGAACUGGAGGUUCCCAAGGGUGAACAAUAGAGAUAAAUGUCUACACAUCAUAUUUCUAUUCAAUCUGGUUGUUAUGAUUGGAUGUGCUGUGGCUACAAUUAUGUGCUUUCUAUCUGAUAAAGGACAGAUAACAAAGUUCCCUAAAAACAAGGUAGAGUUAACGACAGAAGAGAUCAUCACAUUAGGGUGUGGAGUGGCAUUCUUUGUGGCCUUUUUCAUUGCAAUGACAGUGGAGAUAAAAGCUAAACACACUGUGUAUAAAUUGUGUAUGAGAUUUAUUAUGCAUAACACAGAAUGGGCUGUGGACUCUUAUGAUCGCAACAAAGACCUUGAUAUCAAUAAACCUCCCAAAGCACAGUAUGUUUAAUGUACCUCAUCUCUACAGAUCAUUAUAUAUAUUUUGUCAGAGUUAUGUCCCCUGACUAGUGUAUCCUUGAUAUUAUCAAUUUUGUACAAAGCAAUCAUCAAAAUUAUUUAGCUAGGUGUGUGAACCUAUAAGAUAUGCAUAGCUUACAAAUGAGUAAUUAUGUUUUGUGCAAUAGGAAGCUUCUAUAAGUUUUGUAUUUCUGAUUGUGGUAAAAGAAAUGUAUAAACUCAACUAUGUAUUCAUAACUUUUACUCCAACUUCCCUAUCUUCAGAUAAAAAAAAUGAAGACCUAUAUUAAAGUAGAAUUUGAACUUGAAAUAUGAUGUGCAUGUGUUUCAAAAGUCCAUAAUAUAUUUCACUCAGAUAGAUAAUUAUCAAAUGUGAUUGAUUUUUCAAUUCUCUGUAGGCCUGUUCAUUUCUAAUGUUGAUCGUUGAUACACAACAACAUGAGUUAGGUCAUUAAUUUAAUUAUACAUCCAAAAGUGACCCACAUUUACUUUGUCUGUGUGUCCUAAUCUGACUUCAUAAGUUUCUAUGCUUCACAAAAAGUGAUUCAGGAUAUAUCUACUUCAUCUUUAAAUUACAACAAGUUUAAUUAUCAGGAUUAUAAGAAAUAAUCUUUUGAUCUUGUAAUGAAUACAGAAAUGUUAAUAGACUAAAUAUAGUAUGUAACUUAUCAUUCAUUAAUUGACAACCCCAAAAAGUUUUUAUUUUAAAAGUAUUAAUUUCUAUGUUAACCAUGAUUCAGGAGUAUAAAUGUAUAACUAGUUUUUUGCUCCUAAGAAGAACAUUGACAUUUUGUCCUGUGACUGGGUGUAUGUUAAUUUUGUCUGACUUUUUGUCUUGUGAUUUUCUGUCCUCCAGUCAUGCUAAACAUGUUAAAAGUUGGUUAUGUUUGUGUAUAUACUGAAAGUGAUUGUUAAAUAAGAGUAGAUUAAAUAUGUGUGCAAGAUAAAUGUUUCAAUAUAUAUAUAUGUGCAUGAAGUGUAUACUGUAUGUGUAUAUAUUAAUGAAGUUAUGUUUGUAACAUGAAUGAUUUGUUGUCGAGCCUGCAACUUUUGUUGCAGAAAGCUCGACAUAGGGAUAGUGAUCUGGCGGCGGCGGCGUUAGCUAACUUCCUAAAAGCUUUAUAUUUUAGAAGGAGGAAGAGUUGGAUGUUUCAUACUUUGUAUAUAGAUGCCUCAUGUUACGAAGUUUCCGUCAGUCACAUGUCCAAUGUCCUUGACCUCAUUUUCAUGGUUCAGUGAACACUUGAAAAAAAAGUUCAAAUUUUUUGUAAUGUUGAAUUCUCUCUUAUUAUAAGUAAUAGGAUAACUAUAUUUGAUAUGUGCAUACCUUGCAAGGUCCUCAUGUCUGUCAGACAGUUUUCCAUUGACCUUGACCUCAUUUCAUGAAUCAGUGAACAAGGUUAAGUUAAGUUUUGGUGGUCAAGUUCAUAUCUCAGAUACUAUAAGCAUUAGGGCUAGUAUAUUCGGUGUAUGGAAGGACUGUAAGGUGUACAUGUCCAACUGGCAGGUGUCAUCUGACCUUGACCUCAUUUUCAUGGUUCAGUGGUUAUAGUUAAAUUUUUGUAUUUUGGUCUGUUUUUCUCAUACUACAUGCAAUAGGUCUACUAUAUUUGUUGUAUGGAAUGAUUGUAAGGUGUACAUGUCUAGCGGGCAGAUGUCAUGUGACCUUGACCUCAUUUUCAUGGUUCAGUGGUCAAAGUUAAGUUUUUGAGUUUUGGUCUUUUUAUCUAAUACUAUAUGCCAUAGGUCAACUAUUUUGGUGUAUGGAAAUAUUUUUAUGAUCUUUAUGUCAGUCACGCAGGUUUUAUUUGACCGUGACCUCAUUUUCACGGUUCAUUGCACAGUGUUAAGUUUUUGUGUUUGGUCUAUUUUUCUUAAACUAUAAGUAAAAGGUCAACUAUAUAUGUUGUAUAGAAGCAUUGUUAGCUGUACAUGUCUGCCUGGCUUGGUUCAUCUGACCUUGACCUCAUUUUCAAGGUUCAUUGGUCUUUGUUUAGUUAUCUUGGUUAACUUUAAGUUUAUGUGACAGUUGUUAUAAAGCUUAGCUUUAUACUUAGGACUAUCAACAUAAUAUCAAUGAUUACUAUAGAAGGCGAGACAUUUCAGCGUGUUCACUCUUGUUUGAAGAUGGCUAUUAGUUUGUGUGUGAUAUUUCUGUUAUUAUGUGUUUUUAAUAUCACACUGUACAUGAACUGAUACACAAUAGGCUUUAGUUUGGUUAGCUUAUUACACCGACUUUAUGUGUCAGAACUUUGGUGGAUAGUUGUUUUAUUGGCAAUUAUACCACUUACUUCAUUUCAACUCUCAAUAUAUAAUUUGAAUAAUUGGAAGAAGUUGAAGAAGAAGGCUUGUUUAUUAUUAUAUUAAAAUUGAAUAACUUGAGAUGAUAUGAAGGAAUAACCAAUUCUCACUAGUUAUGGAGCCUAUAAAUAAACAUGAUAUUCAUGUGCAGUAAAUGUUGAAUAUAUAAUUGGUGCUGUUUUGAUGUAUGUCAUGGUUUGUAUGGUCUAUUGUGUUAACUGUUGAUUGGAAAUUACAUUCAAUAUUUGAACACAAAAUGUUUGCUAUCGAAAGUUGUAAAUGUUGAAUGGAUAACUGUUUGAAGUGUGUAUUAUGCUUAUAUGGUGUAAAAAUUUAUUCACAUGAAGUAAAAUAUUAAGUAAAUUGCAUUUUUAAACUUAUAAAAAAUAAAGAGCCACAUUUAUCACAACCAGUAGUGAAAUAGAAUAUUUGAAGUUGGAGGCGAAAAAAAGAAAAAGUAAAAAACAUUUAUCAUUAGAGCCACUAGAGGGGUGGUGCUCAUUUUCCCCAUAUCUUUCUAUGUUUUCUAUAGUUUUUGUUCAGGUCUAUAUGAUUUUGAAGUAUACUGAUAUUUCUAUAUGAAGAUAACUUCAAAUGCAAAAUAUUCUUAAGCUUGAAAACGUGUUUGUUUGAAAAUAAUCAUCUGAAAAAUUUGAUUAAAGAGUGUUUGAAAUUUCCUGAUAUUUUGUCAACGGGGACACAUAUUCGCCGUUUUUAUACAUCUAUUUAAACCCAAAUAACUGCAGCUUUAAACAAUAUUUUUCAAAUCAAUUUCAUUAUAGAUGAAUAGCAGACAUUUUUCAAAGGUGUACAGAACUGAAAUUUAGGGCAAUCAGUCAAAGAAUUACCAAGAAAUUCUUCCUUGAAAUUAAAUUUUUCAUUCAGGAAAUUGGCCUGCAAAUCGUUGUCCGAUUUUCGGUCCUUUGCGGUAAUUAAGUGCCGCAAUUUCGUCGUAUUUUAAAAAAUAAUCAUAUUUGUUGUACAAAUCUAAUUUACCGGCAUAUUUCUUCCAUUUCAGCUAUUGUUUGAAGUUUUUACACCUUAAAAAUAAUAAAACGGUGAAAAUGUGACCCCGGCGAAUAUAUGCGCCCCACUCUAUUUGACCCAUGAAAUUGAAAAAAAGUAAAUUUAAUUUCUUUUAAAUGUAUGAUUAUUUUGUUGAUAAAUUGAAUAAGAAGAUAUUUAAAAUUAAUGUGUAAAUGUGUAAAAGAAAAUAUUUGGCUCACAUCAACAUCUAUGUAAAUAUGGUAAAAGACACAGCCCAGUAUUCUAAGUAAGGAUGUUGCCAAUAUCUAUCAAUAUAUGAUAACCUGUUGUAGUUUUAUUUAUGCUAAAAAGACUUACAAGGCCUAAACAAAAUAUGUGAGAUAACAUUCAGAAAUUGUCCUGGAAUCUGACAGAUAUAAAUGAUUUGAAAGAUCUUAGAAGUUUUAUAAUAAUAAAGAAUAAAAAAUGUGGCAUCAUUAUGCCUUUUCUAUUUCUGUAAGUUAAGUGCUAAUUGUUUAUAAUUUAAUUUUGGAUGUAACACGUCUUCUGAUUGGCUGACGUUAUUUUGUUAUGAGCCCAUAGACAUAAUUUAGUCAUGUGGCCGUAAAGUCAUCAACGUUUUUUCAUGGUUUUCUACGGUUUAAAAUGGAAUUGAGAAUUAAAUUAUAAGAAAUGACUGUAAUAUUUUUCCUGUCUAUUCGAAAUAACAUAAAAAAAUGUGGUGCACACUGUUAAAUAACCCGCUACGCACGUUAUUCAGUGUGCACCACAUUUUUUAUGUUAUUUCUUCAUAGACAGAAAAAAUAUUACAGUCAUUCCUUAAAUGAUUAUAAUGUUAGACCCCUUGUACUUAAGAAAUGUAUUAUAAUUAAGGGUAUUGUAAUAUCUUACUCAUUGUAAUGGACUAUACAUGUAUUUUGAAUAGGCGAUUUUGGUGCACUUUAUACUUUAUACUAGAGAUUUACCUUUACCUAUAUUGUGAUACAUCUGAUAUACAGAGUAUAUAUCAUCUCUGUUUAAAGUACAAACACUGUACAUAUAUAAAAUAGGGUUUGUUUCUAAGGAAAAGGGACACAUUAUAUAUGUAGAGAAAAUAUAGAUUAAUUUCUAAGUUUUUAUUUUCCUUUUGUAUUUUUGUUGUUUAUUUAUAAAACCUAUUAUCAAGCAUGGAUGUUGUUUUGACAUGAAUUAUAUUAGUUGAAAAUGAGACGUUAAUUUGGUUAAUACAAUCUGUAUCACUUGAUUUAUUUAUGAUUAUUGAUAUUGUUAAGUUGCUUUGGUUAUUUACAUAUUUGCUACUUGAUAUUAAGCAAUCAAUCAGUGAUUUAUACUAUAGUUGUUUUUUUUUUUCCAUUGGAUCUUAAUUUUUGUUUUCACAUAAUGUAUAUAUAUGAAAUAAAGUUAUUGAAAAUUAAAAUAAAAAUUUUCUGAGAACAUUUAUAGAAUAAAAUAUUUGAAAUUUGAAAAGUUGUAUUUGAAGCACAUAUGUAAGCCAGCUUUAAAGUGUAUUCCUCAUUGUUUAUAGUAAUAUAUUUAGAUUUUUCAUGUGAUGAGUACUUGUAGAAAUGUAUGUGUGUUAUUUGUUGGGGUAGAUCAAACUUUUGGUUCCUUUGAAUCAUUUGGGGUUUUUUUUAUUAAAAAGUAGAAACAGAGCAAAAGGAUUGACAAAAACUGUAAAUAAAAUAUUAGAACUUUGAACAAUAAAUAACCGUAAAGAAAUUAUGAAACUUGCAAGGGAAAUAAUUCAUGCUGAAUAUGCAUAAUGUAACCAGACAGUAUUGGAUGAUAUUUGUCUUAUUGCAUUAGUUUGAAGUAGAACUACACAAAUCUUUAAUGUUUGUACCACUUACAAUUUAAGUAAAUAGCUGUGUUUUACCCUUUGACAACAAGUGUAUAUUAUUAAUAUAUCAUACAAGUGCUUGUGGAUGCAUUUAGUUAUAAAAUAUUAAUGUUUUAUUUUGUUAUAUAUACUUUUGUUUAGUGCUAUUGUGUGGUUAAAACCUCAGCAACAAAGUUGGUGAGGAAAUUUGUUGUUUUAAACUUGUCUUAAAAGACGAACUUUGUUAAAAUGUGUCAGGAGCUGAAUAGUUAAAUAACCUAAUAACAGGAGUGUAUAAUUCACUUGGAACUCUCCAAGAUUUACACAGUAAAGAGUAAUGAAGUAUAUAUGAAGUAUAAUUAACGUUGAACUCUCCAAGAUUUACACAGUAAAGAGUAAUGAAGUAUAUAUGAAGUAUAAAAGACGUAUAAAUGGCAAAUUGUAGAUAGAAUUUCCUCCUGUUUAUCUUAUUUGUUUGUUUUUCAUUAAAUAUAUACAUUG